UCAGAACGAACGCUGGCGGCGUGGAUAAGACAUGCAAGUCGAACGGGAGAAUUGCUAGCUUGCUAAUAAUUCUCUAGUGGCGCACGGGUGAGUAACACGUGAGUAACCUGCCUCUUAGUGGGGGAUAGCCCUGGGAAACCGGGAUUAAUACCGCAUACGAUUGAAAGAUCAAAGCAGCAAUGCGCUAGGAGAUGGGCUCGCGGCCUAUUAGUUAGUUGGUGAGGUAACGGCUCACCAAGGCGAUGACGGGUAGCCGGUCUGAGAGGAUGUCCGGCCACACUGGAACUGAGACACGGUCCAGACACCUACGGGUGGCAGCAGUCGAGAAUCAUUCACAAUGGGGGCAACCCUGAUGGUGCGACGCCGCGUGGGGGAAUGAAGGUCUUCGGAUUGUAAACCCCUGUCAUGUGGGAGCAAAUUAAAAAGAUAGUACCACAAGAGGAAGAGACGGCUAACUCUGUGCCAGCAGCCGCGGUAAUACAGAGGUCUCAAGCGUUGUUCGGAAUCACUGGGCGUAAAGCGUGCGUAGGCUGUUUCGUAAGUCGUGUGUGAAAGGCAGGGGCUCAACCCCUGGAUUGCACAUGAUACUGCGAGACUAGAGUAAUGGAGGGGGAACCGGAAUUCUCGGUGUAGCAGUGAAAUGCGUAGAUAUCGAGAGGAACACUCGUGGCGAAGGCGGGGUUCCUGGACAUUAACUGACGCUGAGGCACGAAGGCCAGGGGAGCGAAAGGGAUUAGAUACCCCUGUAGUCCUGGCAGUAAACGGUGCACGCUUGGUGUGCGGGGAAUCGACCCCCUGCGUGCCGGAGCUAACGCGUUAAGCGUGCCGCCUGGGGAGUACGGUCGCAAGAUUAAAACUCAAAGAAAUUGACGGGGACCCGCACAAGCGGUGGAGUAUGUGGCUUAAUUCGAUGCAACGCGAAGAACCUUACCUGGGCUUGACAUGUAAUGAACAACAUGUGAAAGCAUGCGACUCUUCGGAGGCGUUACACAGGUGCUGCAUGGCCGUCGUCAGCUCGUGUCGUGAGAUGUUCGGUUAAGUCCAGCAACGAGCGCAACCCCUGUUGCCAGUUACCAUCGAGUAAUGUCGGGGACUCUGGCGAGACUGCCCAGAUCAACUGGGAGGAAGGUGGGGACGACGUCAGGUCAGUAUGGCCCUUAUGCCCAGGGCUGCACACGUACUACAAUGCCCAGUACAGAGGGGGCCGAAGCCGCGAGGCGGAGGAAAUCCUGAAAACUGGGCCCAGUUCGGACUGUAGGCUGCAACCCGCCUACACGAAGCCGGAAUCGCUAGUAAUGGCGCAUCAGCUACGGCGCCGUGAAUACGUUCCCGGGUCUUGUACACACCGCCCGUCACAUCAUGGAAGCCGGUCGCACCCGAAGUAUCUGAAGCCAACCGCAAGGAGGCAGGGUCCUAAGGUGAGACUGG
RNAcentral lists this ribosomal RNA (1428 nucleotides) under uncultured organism. RNAcentral describes it as "SSU rRNA". It matches the Rfam family "Bacterial small subunit ribosomal RNA". The record is from RNAcentral.